This is a non-coding RNA of Nemania abortiva, 133 nucleotides long. The record is from the annotation of a GenBank genome assembly. Lineage: Eukaryota; Fungi; Ascomycota; Sordariomycetes; Xylariales; Xylariaceae.
GCCUGGUUAGCUCAAUUGGAUAGAGCGUGAGACUCUUAAUCUCAAGGUUGCGGGUGAGUUCAUCUUCAGAAAAAAACAUCUGUUCAUGUUAGCAAAAUACUAACCCUAGCAGGUUCGACCCCCGCAUUGGGCU